Molecule: ribosomal RNA, 497 nt
Filed under: uncultured bacterium
Lineage: Bacteria
Description: partial 16S ribosomal RNA
Rfam family: Bacterial small subunit ribosomal RNA
Source: RNAcentral
GAUGAACGCUGGCGGCGUGCCUAAUACAUGCAAGUCGAGCGAACAGACGAGGAGCUUGCUCCUCUGACGUUAGCGGCGGACGGGUGAGUAACACGUGGAUAACCUACCUAUAAGACUGGGAUAACUUCGGGAAACCGUAGCUAAUACCGGAUAACAUGUUGAACCGCAUGGUUCCACAGUGAAAGACGGUCUUUCUGUCACUUAUAGAUUGAUCCGCGCCGCAUUAGCUAGUUGGUAAGGUAACGGCUUACCAAGGCAACGAUGCGUAGCCGACCUGAGAGGGUGAUCGGCCAAACUGGAACUGAGACACGGUCCAGACGACUAAGGGAGGCAGCAGUAGGGAAUAUUACGCAAUGGGCGAAAGCAUGACGGAGCAACGCCGCGUGAGUGAAGAAGGUCUUCGGAUCGUAAAACUCUGUUAUUAGGGAAGAACAAAUGUGUAAGUAACUAUGCACGUAUUGACGGUACCUAAACAGAAAGCCACGGCUAACUACGUG